Long non-coding RNA from Passer domesticus (house sparrow), 4755 nucleotides. RefSeq lists it as uncharacterized. The transcript is spliced from 3 exons. The record is from RefSeq and is a predicted model, not a curated record. NCBI's taxonomy places the organism in Eukaryota, Metazoa, Chordata, Aves, Passeriformes, Passeridae.
CGGGAGGAGCCAGCAGGCACAAGGGCAGCCGGGCGCUGGCCACACGCUGCUGAGGGCCGGCACGGUCAGCUGGUGGAUGGGCCCAGCAGGAACCGGGGCGCACCUCCCACCCUGCCCCUCGAGGAGAGGGUUUGAGGCAGCGCCCGCCCUGCCAGGCUGCAGCCUCUCCCUCUCAUUAUUUUUUCACCGCAAGAACUAUCUUACACCUUAUCAAUAAUUCACAGGCACAAUUUUGGGCACUGACAGACAGGAAAACCCCACUCUGGGAUAAUUCAGGAGCAUUCUGUUUUGGCCUUGCUGUCACAGUCACUGCUGGCAUCUCUCUGCUAAUGGAUAGGAACAGGAGAGGAACAGGUCCUGUCUGGCUCUGUGGAAGUGGGGACACAGGAGGAACACUUGUGAUGGAUGAGGGAGAAGUGUAGGGAAAAGAGAACAACUUCAGCCACCACUGCCAUUUGCCCUAUGAACUCCAAGCCAAAGCCCCUGGAAAGUUCAGCCAGCACCUCCUCCAGGCAAGGUAUUCUAGAGCUCAUAAAAUUAAAGCAAAGCUGUCUUUCCCUUUUCCAGUGCUAAUAAAAUAUAUUUCUGCCUAAGAUGCUCAGACAGGACUGCAGUGCAGAGGUCGGGAAGGCCACGGCUGAGCAUCCCCUGGGGAGAGCGUGGGAAGAGCGGCGCCAGUGGAUCUCCCCAGCCUGGCUGGCAGCAGCAGGACCAGCCUGGAACCCUUCAGCAGCCCCAUCCCCACCUGCAGACGUGCCUGUUCAGACAUCAACUCACAUCAUCCCAGACAGAGAAGAGCCUCUGCAGCUGGCUUUGCUCCACUCCUGCAGAGCAGGGAUGCUUGGGGGCUGUGAGAGCAAUUAAGGACCUGGCCUGUGUUGGAGGCACUGGACUUAUGUCCCCAGCACCCAGAGAGGGAGUAUCAUCCAUCAUCCAGAAGGGGACACUUCAUCACUGGGACAUUUUGAGCACUCAGCUCAGACCCAGAGCCCACCCAGGGAUUUCUGCUCCAACUGACACUUCUAGUUUCCACCACUGGGAAAAGAAGUACAGUCUCCUUUGCAACUUCAAAGGACAUUCAAGUCACCUCUUCCCAGCUGAGUGUUCAGUGGUUAAUUGCUCUCUGUCAUGAAAAAGACAAAUUUAAUUCUAGUGUGAAUUUGUCUAGUUUCAGCCCGCAGCUACUGAAUGAUUUUAUGCUUUUUUUCUUUUUUCUUUUUUUUUAAAUUAAUGGUGUCCCUAUAAUCGGGCUUUCCCCCAUGCAGGUAUGCAGAGAUGGAGAUAAAUUUCUCUCCUAGAGAGAAAUUCUCUCUCUUCUCUUGCAUAUACUAAAUAGACUGAGCUUUUUAAUUCUUUUCACUGCAAGGCAGAUUUUCCAGACCUCCAAUUAUCCUGCACUUCCUCUCUGAGCACUUUCUAAUUUCCCAACAUCUCUCUAAACUGUGGGCCCUGAAGCAUAAACUAUGCUGAGCAGAGGCCUCCCUCCUGCCCCCCAAACUGGCAACUCCCCAGCACCCAGAGCUACUCCGCGCAUCCAUCACUGCCCAGGCUGGAAGCCCACAUCCAGGGCAGGCUUACACGACGGCUGCUAAGUCCUUUUCAGUGUAACCACAUCCCCAGACACUGCUCCCCGUCUUGUAGCUGUGACCUACAUUUUUUUUUCCCCCAGCUGCGUGACCUUGCAUGAGGAUGUUUCCCAGUGCAGGUGUUUCAGGCGGAGCAUCCCCGCUAGACCGGCAUCCCGCCCGCAGCACCAGCCCUGCUCCUCUCACUGCUGGCUCACGUGCCCUCCCAGGCUCAGCUCUCUCACUGUGCAGGUGGCUUCUUCCCAAGCUGCAUCAACCACACCACUCAGCUCAUCCUCAGCUGGUGCAAGGCAGAAAGAGGAGGCAACAAGAGGCCAGGAUAUUGGGGGCUGAUUGGAAGAAGUCAGCAGUGCCACCAAAGAUUCCAGGACCACCGCAGCUUGGCAGAGAUGCUGAACAUCAGUUCACCACCAUCAGACCCCCACUGCACCCUGCCAGAGAGGUGACCACUGCAAUGCCCCCAGGGAUUUCUACCAGUAAAAAACGCUGUCAGAAAUGCUACACAGACUUUUGCAGAAUAUUAAUGUUUUCAUGGCAAUAUCCUCCAGGCAAGAGCAAAAUGACUUGCAGAAGUCUCGGUAUAUCAUGUCAGCACAGUCGCUACUUAUCAACCCAAUUUGUCAGCUCAUCAAAAAAAUGAUAUCAGGAUGCCAAAAUUACCAUUUCCCAAAUACUCAAGUGGAUGGUCAAGCUCUUUCUGGCUGCACCUCCCAGGGAAACACCUCUCCUCCACCCCAGGGCCUGCAGAAAGCCUGUGCCACUUUAUUUCUCUUCAAGCAGCUCUGCCUCAAAUGCCAUCCCUCACUGGAGAGGCAGCAAGGACCAGACAGGGAGAAGGAGGGGUGAAGAAACCAUGCUAAACCAUCCCUGCCAUUUCCUGCCUCCCAGUUUAGAGAAAAAAAGACAGCGGGAUGUCUUCAGUUACCAACAGCUCCCUUGGGAGCAGUAAAAAUUAAUCCAGCUUUUCCUAUCCUGAAGGGAAAUACAGACACAAAUGAGGACAAAAGCCUCUGUGGGCAAAGGGAGGUGCAACAACCAUGGAAGGGCUGUGGAAGGCAGCUGUAAGACCCCUAAUCCACACUCUGCUUGGCUCUGCAGGGCAGUGGGAGCCCCAGCCACAGAAGUCUGCGUCUUGCUGGUUAAGUGAGGAUAAGCCUGAGAUGAUAAUUAAUUUAACACAGAUGAGAAUCUGGAAAGUGGAUCCCCACCUCCCCAAACACACUGCCAGCAGGGUUCCCUCACAUGUGGAUGUCAAUUGGCACACAGGGAAAUGGGCUCACCAAAUCAGGACACCCUCAGCUCAUCCCUGCAGGCAGGGCACACCUUCUCCCUGGCAAUGCCUAGGAGCCCUGCUGCACCAGGAAAGCCCCCAGCUGUGCAAAGAGGCAUCUUUUUCCCACUUACACUCAUCUCUUUGGCCCUUACAGCAUUCAGCGUGGGGAACUUCACCUGCCUACAGCACUGGAUAAAGCAUCCCAGGGCUCCAGGCAGCCCGCUUGGGUGAGAAUUUGGAGCCCACCAGGCCCAGCUCUGGUGUGGGGGCUGCAGGCCGUGUGGUGCAGCAGCAAUGCCAAAAGCACCACAGGUCCCUUGGGAGCAGAAGAGAAAGAGCACGGCACAGGCACCCUGUUGGAAGCAGUGCUGGAAACUGCUGACAGCUUGUUUUCAUUGCAGUCCCAGCAUGAGAGAGGAGGGGCUCCAGCACCCACCCGCGGGAAGAUCAGCCAGCAAACACAGGUUAAUUACCUGGCUCUGCACAUUCACACGUCUGUGGGAUGCACAUGCAGUGGUACCAAGUUAUAACUUAGCCUCAAAUCACUGCAUAGGACUUUUUUCUUCCACAUUCUGGAACUCAAAUUACCAGAGGCUAAUUCUGCUCACGAUUCUUUAAUAUCACUUUGAACUCUUCUACUAUUUGAGCUGUGAAAACAGGAGGAAGGAAAUGCCUUUAUGCUGUGCUCAAAAUGGAUGGACAAAGGCAUCAGCUCCUCCAGGUGCUCUUUUAACUCUUUCAGGGGACCAAAGGUGGCUAAAGGCUGAAUGUGGGACAAUGCAGGCAAUGAGCUGUGACGCAGGCAGGGAAUAAAUAAUUCCUGUGUUUUAAUAGCUGUGUAAUUAGCACCGCUGCUCAGCUUUAGGAAGACUUUGCAAGCAAUUUUUCAUUGCUUUUUCCCAUGGGUUGCAAAUUCCCAUUUGCCAGUGCACCACUGGGAAGCUGGACAGGGAUGCUCUGCAUGAUGCCAUGUGGGGGAGAGGACUUUCCUGAAAGGGGCAGGGGGCUGAAAGCUGCACCUCAUUACAGACUUUCACUUUAGUAACAUUACAAAACCCAAAUCCAAGCCUGCACCCAAAGCAAGACAGAGAGUGAGCCCAGCAGAACCAGUGGCUCAAGGAGAGAGCCCCGGGAGCAGGGCUUGACCCCGUGCAUUGCCAAGGAAACCUUGGAAGCGUCUCAACAGCCAGAAAACUGGAGCCGGCCGUGAGUCAGGAGCACAACGGGGUGCACGGAGGGAAUGGGGCAGAUUAUCUCCAAGCAGCCGUCUGGCAAUGCCCGCUCCUGGCAGCCCUGGCUCACAGGCAGGAUAAUGGCACAGAACAGAGCCAGGGCGUCCCCGUGCAGGGCUUGCAGCACCACCCCAGUGGGAUGGGCCCAGGCUGGUGGGAAGCAAGGAGGGAGGCUGCUCGUCUGCAGGUUGGGCCGUGGUUGCUACCCUCACCCCAGUACUCCCUGUGCCUCUGGAGACUGCAGGUCAAGUCCCAAAAAGCUUAUGGAAGUGCUCAAAUAUGAAGAGAUCUUAAGAAUGUGUUUAAUUUGUGAGGCUUUCAGGUUGUCUGCACUCAGGAUCCCCCACGGAGUCUCACUGCCCUCCCCCCCAAAAAAGCUGAAUCUGUGGCACAUUAAUGAUGGAGGAAGAAGAGCAGCAGGCAGUGAGCAGCUCCCUGCACAAGGGUGCUCCUUCCCAGCACCCACACAAAGCCCCAGAUGUAUCUGUAAGGAUGCUGUCCCCACGGGCCAGAAGCACAAGGACAUAUCAGCCUGCCUCAGCUUGGCCCUUCUGCAGCCCCCUGAGCCCUGCCAAGGCUGGGGUGCCAGGAGCAGCCCCUCAGCGCCUGGCAGCCCGCCGGGGAGGGGGCUGGCUGCCCGCCCGCCUGGCAGCAUCCUUCCCUA